Medicago truncatula (barrel medic) is the source of this 100-nucleotide small nucleolar RNA. The record is from Rfam. Lineage: Eukaryota; Viridiplantae; Streptophyta; Magnoliopsida; Fabales; Fabaceae.
UGCAGUGGCUAUGAUGAUUACUGUGUAUCCCGGCUCAUUAUGAGACUUUUUUGUAAGGUCCGGGAAUUGAAUUUUUCCACACAUAAAUCUGAGCUUUUCU